AGUCGAACGGCAGCAUGAUCUAGCUUGCUAGAUUGAUGGCGAGUGGCGAACGGGUGAGUAGUACAUCGGAACGUGCCCUGUAGUGGGGGAUAACUAGUCGAAAGAUUAGCUAAUACCGCAUACGACCUGAGGGUGAAAGUGGGGGACCGCAAGGCCUCAUGCUAUAGGAGCGGCCGAUGUCUGAUUAGCUAGUUGGUGAGGUAAAGGCUCACCAAGGCGACGAUCAGUAGCUGGUCUGAGAGGACGAUCAGCCACACUGGGACUGAGACACGGCCCAGACUCCUACGGGAGGCAGCAGUGGGGAAUUUUGGACAAUGGGCGAAAGCCUGAUCCAGCAAUGCCGCGUGUGUGAAGAAGGCCUUCGGGUUGUAAAGCACUUUUGUCCGGAAAGAAAUGGCUCUGGUUAAUACCUGGGGUCGAUGACGGUACCGGAAGAAUAAGGACCGGCUAACUACGUGCCAGCAGCCGCGGUAAUACGUAGGGUCCAAGCGUUAAUCGGAAUUACUGGGCGUAAAGCGUGCGCAGGCGGUUGUGCAAGACCGAUGUGAAAUCCCCGAGCUUAACUUGGGAAUUGCAUUGGUGACUGCACGGCUAGAGUGUGUCAGAGGGGGGUAGAAUUCCACGUGUAGCAGUGAAAUGCGUAGAGAUGUGGAGGAAUACCGAUGGCGAAGGCAGCCCCCUGG
RNAcentral lists this ribosomal RNA (683 nucleotides) under uncultured Ralstonia sp. Its description in RNAcentral is "bacterial SSU rRNA". It matches the Rfam family "Bacterial small subunit ribosomal RNA", at positions 60 to 732 of the family's 1533-position model. Lineage: Bacteria; Pseudomonadati; Pseudomonadota; Betaproteobacteria; Burkholderiales; Burkholderiaceae. The record is from RNAcentral.